Magnolia sinica is the source of this 1089-nucleotide RNA transcript. It is a transcript of the gene named pentatricopeptide repeat-containing protein At5g67570, chloroplastic-like, with no coding region annotated. The transcript has 4 exons. The record is from RefSeq and is a predicted model, not a curated record. NCBI's taxonomy places the organism in Eukaryota, Viridiplantae, Streptophyta, Magnoliopsida, Magnoliales, Magnoliaceae.
UUACUUUGGACCUGAUGCUCUGAACAUGACUUUGAAUCAUUUUCCCAUGAACUACAACUAAAAUACUGGAGCCCAUGGAUGUCCAAAAGGCUUAUAAAGUAUCAUUCUAACCUUCUAGUUAUUUAGGAUCGGCUCUCAUAUCCUGUUUUGCCAAUCAUUUCCAAGGCCCAUCAAGGUAUCAUUUGAAAUUAAUCUAACAUCUUUUCAGUGUUGAACCUUUCAAGUAUGGCAAUGAAAGCCCACUGAGGAUCAACCAUAUCUCAAUUUUCACUCGGAAUAGUCAAUAUUCCGUCUCUGCUGAACUAUUAAGUUAUUUGAGCUUGCUUGUUAAUGAAAACCUGAUUGUCAAUUUAUUCUGAAAACGUUAGCGAUGGAGGGAUCUCUCCCUUAGUCUUACAGGUGGUGCUUCUUGAAAGGUCAUGCUGAGAUCAGGGAAGUACGAUCUUGUUCACAAGUUCUUUGGGAAGAUGAGAAGAAGUGGGUUAGCUCUGAAAGCCAUUACAUACAAAGUUCUUGUAAGAGCCUUCUGGGAAGAAGGCAAAGUCAAUGAGGCUGUUGAAGCAGUCAGGGAUAUGGAACAGAGAGGAGUAGUAGGAACAGCUAGUGUUUAUUAUGAAUUAGCAUGUUGCCUUUGCUACAAUGGGAGGUGGCAGGAAGCUAUUGUGCAGGUAAACUUCUUUGUCUGCAGAUACCGAAAAAUAUGCAUCGAGAUUGCACCAUUUUCUAUUGUUGGAAGUUGGAACAUCUUCUAUGAUGUUUUUUCAUAAGCUUAUGAGGUAGAAACUUCAUUUCUGAAAAUGCAUAUGAAGAUGUCAUUAGUCAGAUGAAGGAUUUAUCUGUUGAAGCUGGUGGGAAGGGCACUUCCAAGAAAGAACUUAAUAGUCAACGCAACCUUUUCUAUGAUAUCCUAGAAUAAUUGAGUGGAUGAAACUGUUGAUCCUGAAGGUACUGAAAAAGCAGCUGUUCUUGUUGAAUAUGUCUCACCUUCUUCCAAUGCUCAGCCUACAACUACACAAGAUAGUGCCUUUGUUCCUCCGUCACUUCGCAUGGUAAGUGUGGCACUUCACUUUUUCCUUACCAUUUCUGAAC